UUAUACCAAUAUAAAAGUAAUUAUGCUAGAACUAGUAACAAGAAAUUGAAUUUCUCCUAAAUGUGUAUAUAAGCCACUACGGACCACCCACUGGCACUUAACGUCCUUGUAAUCACCAUAAUAACAUCAUUCAAGAAAACCCUAUCAUCCCCAACGUUAACCUUACACCAGAACAUUCCAGGAAAGAUUAAAAAAGAGAGAAGGAACUCGGCAAAUUUUAGCCCCGCCUGUUUACCAAAAACAUCGCCUCUUGACAUAAUAUAAGAGGCCCAGCCUGCCCGGUGACAAAGUUUAACGGCUACGGUACCCUGACCGUACGAAGGUAGCAUAAUCACUUGUUCCUUAAAUAGGGACUCGUAUCAACGGCAUCACGAGGGCUGCACUGUCUCCUCCCUUCAAUCAGUGAAACUGAUCCCCCCGUGAAGAAGCGGGGAUUAAACUAUAAGACGAGAAGACCCCAUGGAGCUUUAAACAACGUGCUCACACUAUACUUAUACACCCACUAACUAAAAGCCCUGAGCACAAGUUUUAGGUUGGGGAGACCGCGGAGAACAACUAAACCUCCACGACAAACGGCCCUAAAGUCCUUAUCCACGAGUCACAGCUCUAAGAAUCAACACACUGAUGAUUAUGACCCGACACUAUUCGAUUAACGAACCAAGUUACCCUGGGGAUAACAGCGCAAUCUACUUCAAGAGCUCAUAUCGACAAGUAGGUUUACGACCUCGAUGUUGG
The sequence is a ribosomal RNA, 735 nucleotides long. It matches the Rfam family "Bacterial large subunit ribosomal RNA", at positions 1273 to 2535 of the family's 2925-position model.